RNAcentral lists this ribosomal RNA (253 nucleotides) under uncultured bacterium. Its description in RNAcentral is "partial 16S ribosomal RNA". It matches the Rfam family "Bacterial small subunit ribosomal RNA", at positions 524 to 776 of the family's 1533-position model. The record is from RNAcentral.
UACGUAGGGGGCUAGCGUUGUCCGGAUUUAUUGGGCGUAAAGAGCGUGUAGGCGGCCAGGUAGGUCUGCUGUGAAAACUCGAGGCUCAACCUCGAGACGUCGGCGGAAACCAUCUGGCUAGAGUCCGGAAGAGGAGAGUGGAAUUCCUGGUGUAGCGGUGAAAUGCGCAGAUAUCAGGAAGAACACCCGUGGCGAAGGCGGCUCUCUGGGACGGUACUGACGCUGAGGAGCGAAAGCGUGGGGAGCGAACAGG